This 253-nucleotide ribosomal RNA is filed under the name uncultured bacterium. RNAcentral describes it as "partial 16S ribosomal RNA". It matches the Rfam family "Bacterial small subunit ribosomal RNA", at positions 524 to 776 of the family's 1533-position model. The record is from RNAcentral.
UACAGAGGGUGCAAGCGUUAUUCGGAAUUACUGGGCGUAAAGCGUGCGUAGACGGUAGCGUAAGUCGGGUGUGAAAGCCCCGGGCUCAACCUGGGAAUUGCAUUCGAGACUGCUCUGCUAGGGUGCGGAAGAGGGAAGCGGAAUUUCCGGUGGAGCGGUGAAAUGCGUAGAGAUCGGAAAGAACACCAGCGGCGAAAGCGCUCUGCUGGGCCGACACUGACACUGAGAGACGAAAGCGAGGGGAGCGAAUGGG